CGACGAUGACGAUUCGGACGUCGAGAUGCUGAGCAUCUCGAGCGGGGACGAGGAUUUUGCUAAGGAUUGCGCGGGUUCGAGGGCUAGAGGUGGCGCGAGUGGUGGUUCGAGGCCCGGGAGGGACGACGACAGAGCGUGGGAUGGCGAAGAACCUGAUUGCUGGAGGCGCGUGGACGAAGACGAGGUGAGUUCGAGAUGGUAAACCUGAGGAGAAAGGAAGAAGUUUCAGAGAACGACAAGAAUGAGGGAUGGAGGAGGGUCUUCCAUGUCCGCUUCGGUUCCAGGAAGAAGAGAGAUUGAUUGUUGAAGCUCGAUCGAGGGAGAAAGAGAAAUAGAAAGGAUCGUCUUUGGAGAGUAGCGAGAACAAGAAAGAUGGUGUUGGUUUUGGCAUUGGGGGAUCUGCACAUACCGCACAAGGCGCCUGAUCUGCCC
Syzygium oleosum is the source of this 432-nucleotide long non-coding RNA. RefSeq lists it as uncharacterized. NCBI's taxonomy places the organism in Eukaryota, Viridiplantae, Streptophyta, Magnoliopsida, Myrtales, Myrtaceae. The record is from RefSeq and is a predicted model, not a curated record. The transcript has 3 exons.